This 407-nucleotide ribosomal RNA is filed under the name uncultured bacterium. RNAcentral describes it as "bacterial SSU rRNA". It matches the Rfam family "Bacterial small subunit ribosomal RNA", at positions 355 to 776 of the family's 1533-position model. The record is from RNAcentral.
UUAGGAAUUUUGCACAAUGGGGGAAACCCUGAUGCAGCAACGCCGCGUGAGUGAUGAAGGCCUUCGGGUUGUAAAGCUCUUUCGAUGGGGAAGAAACAAAUGACGGUACCCAUAGAAGAAGCACCGGCGAACUCCGUGCCAGCAGCCGCGGUAAUACGGAGGGUGCAAGCGUUAUUCGGAAUUAUUGGGCGUAAAGCGCAUGUAGGUGGUCUCUUAAGUCUGGUGUGAAAUCCCCGAGCUCAAAUCGGGAAGUGCAUUGGAUACUGGGAGACUGGAGUACAGGAGAGGAAGGUGGAAUUCCAGGUGUAGAGGUGAAAUUCGUAGAUAUCUGGAGGAACAACAGAGGCGAAGGCGACCUUCUGGACUGUCACUGACACUGAGAUGCGAAAGCGUGGGGAGCAAACAGG